Drosophila mojavensis is the source of this 624-nucleotide long non-coding RNA. RefSeq lists it as uncharacterized. The record is from RefSeq and is a predicted model, not a curated record. The transcript is spliced from 3 exons. NCBI's taxonomy places the organism in Eukaryota, Metazoa, Arthropoda, Insecta, Diptera, Drosophilidae.
AGCAACAACAAACGUGGCUCAACAGCCGCGUCGCGAUGCUUCGCUGAUAACUUGUCUAGCGGCAGCCGCAACCGUCACAUGCAAUGUGGCACCACAUUUUGGACAGCAGUGUAGCCUAAGCCGCUUGAUUUAAGACCUGCAACGCAUUGACAACAGGAAAGAGACAGCAUGAGGCAAUGCAGAAGCAGCGCUGUUAAAUUUGGCUUUGGAAUGCGCUAUCUAUUCACAUCGUUGGAAUGUACUAGAAAAACUGGGCAGCAUUUUUGAAGUUUGACUGGAAAUCGAAAGUAAAACCAAAUGGGCAGCACUUUUAUGCUUGAGGCGAACUAAUGGAGUGUCCGUAAACAUGUUUGACUCUUAAGAGUGCUCUGCACGUUUUCUUACAGUUUAACUGAGCAAACGUGUGCUAAAAAUAAACGCAAAAAGAAGACGAUUGUCAAAUCGUUUUGACCAUGUUUACAGCAUUUUUAAAGACUAAGCCACACCUUCUGCACACCUUGUCGUUUAAACUCUGACUUUAGUGAUGUACUUAUAAAUAGAUACAUAUACAUAUGUAUUAAAUAUAUGCAAAUACACGCACAACAAACAUAUACAUAUAUGUUUGUUAAUUACUUCAUUAAGGGA